RNAcentral lists this long non-coding RNA (2432 nucleotides) under Homo sapiens (human). Its description in RNAcentral is "HSALNT0108519". Lineage: Eukaryota; Metazoa; Chordata; Mammalia; Primates; Hominidae. The record is from RNAcentral.
CCAAAUCUUGUGGUCAUAUGUUGCACUGGCAGAAUCAAGAUUGCAUCACAAAUCCUGGUUAUUAGGAAGUCUGGGAAAUGUAGUAUUAGACUUCUUGCUCCUGCAACAAGUGUAUGUGUGUAGAGCAGAUCACAGGGGAAGGUAGAAACAAAUGCCCAAUAUAAAUAGGCAUUCAGCAGAAGAGGACACCGAUGCAGAGAAAAGAGAACUUCCCUUCAUGAUGCUAUGCAAUCCCCAGGAGAAGCACGUUGAAAGCUGAGAAUCCUUCUUGGCACUGGGAAUACAGAGGUGAUGGGCAGGAAAAUUCCCUGAUUUUAUAGAGCUUAAAUUCUUGUAGGAGAGACAGACAAUAACAAAAGAAGACUGACUGAGAUGUGUUGGCGGGCUUCUCAAGAUCCCUAUCGAUGGCAGAAUGCUGACAUGAGUUGCCCAUAGUCCAGGUUUCCCAAUGUAGCAGAUGACUCUAGCGGCUCCAGCUUCAGCAUCAUCUUAAGUUCAAGUGAAAAGGAAAAGAGAAUCUCUUUUUCUUCAAACAAUUUCAAACUAAAAUCUUGAGUCUGACUUUUCCUGGCCAGAAUUAAGCUUGUACUUAUCCCUGAAAAAUCAUCAAUGCUACAGUGAUGAAUUUACCAAUUGAGGCAGAAUUUAGGUCACAUGACGCUCCAAAGCCUCUUCAAAACCGCAUGACUCAGAGUGAGGCAGAAGUAUUUGGGAUAUUUGCAACAGGAGAAGGGUAAAUGAAUGGAGAGUGCCAAAACAACUUAUGUCAAUUAUACAAUUAUAAAUACAACCAAAAUAAAGUAUGGAAAUCAGUAUUUUCACCUAUCUUAACAGAGUGAAAGAUUUAUUCUGUUGAAUAUUUGCCAUAUUUCACUUUCCACAUUCAGCACUCUGCAAUAUUUAAAGAAGAAAAUAAGUCUCCAUAUACUGAAUAAAGACAUAUCAAAAUUUGUGUGACAUCAUAUUCCUUAGUUACAUUUUUUGUUCAUUCAUUUGUGUGUUUGUUUAUGUCACCCACACUAGAUCAUGGUGGUGUGAACAUGGUUCACUACAGCCUCAACAUCCUGGGCCCAAGCAAUCCUCCCACCUCAGCCUCCUGUGUAGCUAAGACCACAGGUGGGCACCACCAUGCCCAGCUACCUUUUAAUUUUUUGUAGAUAUGGGGGUCUCACUUUGUUGCCCAGGCUGGUCUCGAACUCCUGGGCUCAAGCUAUCCCCACAACACUUUGGUUUGGCCUCCCAAAGUGUCGGGAUUACAGGUGCGAGCCAGUGCACUCAGCCUUACAUUUUUUAAUAAAUGAAUUUAAACAAAGAAUAGAAACAUAUUUUUAAACACACCAAUUAACAAACCAAAGUGUAUUGCAAAUUAUUGGAAGGGACAGCAGAGUGAAAAAAUGUUAUCCCACCUGCAGGAGGUGGAAAAGGUGAUAAUAUGAAACAAAUAUUUCCACCUAUCCUAAUAGAGUAAAAGAUUUAUUCUGCUGGAUAUUUUCUGUAUUUUACCUACCUUCCACAUUCAGCACUCUGCACUCUCUUGCCCAACUAUUCCUUUUAAUUUUCCCAUAAUACAACUUUUUAAUAUUUUAUGUAAUAUAUGUAUUUAUUUCUUUCUUUUACUAACUGUGUUUCCUACUGGAAUGUAAGCUUCAAAAAUUCAGAGAUCUUUGUCCUUGUUGCUGAUAUAGCCUACUGUCUAAAAAAAACUUCAGAUAUUUAAUUUUUUUAACUUUUAAGUUCAGGGGUACAAGUGCAAGUUUGUUACAUAGAUAAACAUGUGUCAUGGGGGUUUCUUGUGCAUAUCAUUUAAUCACUCAGGUAUUAAGCUUAGUACCCAUUAGUUAUUUUUUUCUGAUCUUCUCUCUCCUCCUAUCCUUCACUCUUCAAUAGGCCCCAGUGUGUGUUAUUCUCCUCUAUGGGUCCAUAUGUUCUCAUCAUUUAGCUCCCACUUAUAAGUGAGAGCAUGCAGUGUUUGGUUUUCUGUUUCUGUCAGUUUGCUAGGGAUAAUGGCCUCCAGCUCCAACCAUGUUCCUGCAAAGGACAUGAUCUCAUUUUUUUUAUGGCUGCAUGGUAGUCCAUGGUGUAUAUAUACCACAUUUUCUUUAUCCAGUCUAUCAUUGAUGGGCAUUUAUAUUGAUUUCAUGUCUUUGAGAUUGUAAAUAGUGCUGCAGUGAACAUAUGUGUGUAUGUGUCUUUAUAAUAUAAUGAUUUAUGUUCCUUUGGGUAUAUACCCAGCAAUGGGAUUGCUGGGUCAAAUGGUUUUUCUGUCUUUAGGUCUUUGAGGAAUUGCCACACUGUCUUCCACCAUCUUUAUUUCUGCCUUCGUUUCGUUAUGUACCAGUAGUCAUUCAGGAGCAGGUUAUUCAGUUUCCAUGUAGUUGAUCAGUUUUGAGUGAGUUUCUUAAUCCUGAGUUCUAGUUUGAUUGCACUGUGGU